GCCGGUGUAGCCAAGUGGUAAGGCGCCGUCUUGGUAGGACGGUCAUCGUGGGUUCGAUUCCCACCUCCGGCU
RNAcentral lists this transfer RNA (72 nucleotides) under Myxococcales bacterium. Its description in RNAcentral is "tRNA-Thr". It matches the Rfam family "tRNA". From Rfam's summary of the family: Transfer RNA (tRNA) molecules are approximately 80 nucleotides in length. Their secondary structure includes four short double-helical elements and three loops (D, anti-codon, and T loops). Further hydrogen bonds mediate the characteristic L-shaped molecular structure. tRNAs have two regions of fundamental functional importance: the anti-codon, which is responsible for specific mRNA codon recognition, and the 3' end, to which the tRNAs corresponding amino acid is attached (by aminoacyl-tRNA synthetases). tRNAs cope with the degeneracy of the genetic code in two manners: having more than one tRNA (with a specific anti-codon) for a particular amino acid; and 'wobble' base-pairing, i.e. permitting non-standard base-pairing at the 3rd anti-codon position. The record is from RNAcentral. Lineage: Bacteria; Pseudomonadati; Myxococcota; Myxococcia; Myxococcales.